GGGGUUGUGGCUCAGCGGUAGAGCGCCCACCUAGCACGGGUAAAGCCCUGGGUUCGAUCCCCAGCACCA
Molecule: transfer RNA, 69 nt
Filed under: Ictidomys tridecemlineatus (thirteen-lined ground squirrel)
Lineage: Eukaryota; Metazoa; Chordata; Mammalia; Rodentia; Sciuridae
Description: Spermophilus tridecemlineatus (thirteen-lined ground squirrel) tRNA
Rfam family: tRNA
About the family: Transfer RNA (tRNA) molecules are approximately 80 nucleotides in length.
Source: Rfam by way of RNAcentral